This 329-nucleotide ribosomal RNA is filed under the name uncultured eukaryote. RNAcentral's name for it is "partial 18S ribosomal RNA". It matches the Rfam family "Eukaryotic small subunit ribosomal RNA", at positions 1470 to 1796 of the family's 1831-position model. The record is from RNAcentral.
CCCUUAGAUGUUCUGGGCCGCACGCGCGCUACACUGAUGCAAUCAGCAAGUUCUUUACCUUGGCCGAAAGGUCUGGGUAAUCUUGUGAAAUUGUAUCGUGUUAGGGCUUAAGAAUUGUAACUAUUUCUUAUAAACGAGGAAUUCCUAGUAAUCGCAAGUCAGCAGCUUGCAAUGAUUACGUCCCUGCCCUUUGUACACACCGCCCGUCGCUCCUACCGAUUGAAUGAUCCGAUGAAUAUCAUGGAUUGAGGAUGCAAGUAGGUUAGCCUAUCUUCAUCUUCGAGAAGUGAAGUAAAUCCUAUCAUUUAGAGGAAGGAGAAGUCGUAACA